ACGCCCGACACCUACGGGAGGCAGCAGUGGGGAAUAUUGCACAAUGGGGGAAACCCUGAUGCAGCGACGCCGCGUGAGCGAAGAAGUAUUUCGGUAUGUAAAGCUCUAUCAGCAGGGAAGAAACUGACGGUACCUGACUAAGAAGCACCGGCUAAAUACGUACCAGCAGCCGCGGUAAUCUGAGCGGGCUGGCAAGGC
This 198-nucleotide ribosomal RNA is filed under the name uncultured bacterium. Its description in RNAcentral is "partial 16S ribosomal RNA". It matches the Rfam family "Bacterial small subunit ribosomal RNA", at positions 328 to 539 of the family's 1533-position model. The record is from RNAcentral.